CCUACGGGAGGCAGCAGUGGGGAAUUUUGCACAAUGGGCGAAAGCCUGAUGCAGCAACGCCGCGUGUGUGAUGAAGGUCUUCGGAUUGUAAAGCACUUUCGACCGGGACGAACAACCUCUGGCUAACAGUCAGGGGCCUGACGGUACCGGGAGAAGAAGCACCGGCUAACUCUGUGCCAGCAGCCGCGGUAAUACAGAGGGUGCAAGCGUUGUUCGGAAUUAUUGGGCGUAAAGCGCGUGUAGGCGGCAAGGUAAGUCGGGUGUGAAAGCCCUCAGCUCAACUGAGGAAGUGCGCCCGAAACUGCCCUGCUUGAGUGCCGGAGAGGAUGGCGGAAUUCCCCAAGUAGAGGUGAAAUUCGUAGAUAUGGGGAGGAACACCGGUGGCGAAGGCGGCCAUCUGGACGGUGACUGACGCUGAGACGCGAAAGCGUGGGUAGCAAACAGGAUUAGAUACCCCAGUAGUC
Molecule: ribosomal RNA, 464 nt
Filed under: uncultured bacterium
Lineage: Bacteria
Description: bacterial SSU rRNA
Rfam family: Bacterial small subunit ribosomal RNA
Source: RNAcentral